AUUGAACGCUGGCGGCAGGCCUAACACAUGCAAGUCGAACGGCAGCACAGAAGAGCUUGCUCUUUGGGUGGCGAGUGGCGGACGGGUGAGUAAUGUCUGGGAAACUGCCCGAUGGAGGGGGAUAACUACUGGAAACGGUAGCUAAUACCGCAUAACGUCGCAAGACCAAAGUGGGGGACCUUCGGGCCUCACACCAUCGGAGGUGCCCAGAUGGGAUUAGCUAGUAGGGGGGGUAAUGGCUCACCUAGGCGACGAUCCCUAGCUGGUCUGAGAGGAUGACCAGCCACACUGGAACUGAGACACGGUCCAGACUCCUACGGGAGGCAGCAGUGGGGAAUAUUGCACAAUGGGCGCAAGCCUGAUGCAGCCAUGCCGCGUGUAUGAAGAAGGCCUUCGGGUUGUAAAGUACUUUCAGCGGGGAGGAAGGCGGUGAGGUUAAUAACCUUGCCGAUUGACGUUACCCGCAGAAGAAGCACCGGCUAACUCCGUGCCAGCAGCCGCCGUAA
RNAcentral lists this ribosomal RNA (506 nucleotides) under uncultured bacterium. RNAcentral describes it as "partial 16S ribosomal RNA". It matches the Rfam family "Bacterial small subunit ribosomal RNA", at positions 29 to 523 of the family's 1533-position model. The record is from RNAcentral.